UAUACAGCUAGCUUACCUAUUAAACUAAUAUAACAACAUUAAAAACCUUUACAUAACUACAAAAAUACAAAUCAAAACAUUUUACCGCCUAAGUAUGUGAGACAGAAAAGGCAUUACAUCAAGCUACAGAAAAAGUACCGCAAGGGAACGCUGAAAGAGAAAUGAAACAAAUCAUUAAAGCAUAACAAAGCAGAGACUAACCCU
This 204-nucleotide ribosomal RNA is filed under the name Mystus cavasius (Gangetic mystus). Its description in RNAcentral is "partial 16S ribosomal RNA". The record is from RNAcentral. Lineage: Eukaryota; Metazoa; Chordata; Actinopteri; Siluriformes; Bagridae.